ACGGGUGAGGAAUGCAUCGGAAUCUACCCUGUCGUGGGGGAUAACGUAGGGAAACUUACGCUAAUACCGCAUGCGACCGAGAGGUGAAAGUGGGGGACCGCAAGGCCUCACGCGAUUGGAUGAGCCGAUGCCGGAUUAGCUAGUUGGUGGGGUAAAGGCCCACCAAGGCGACGAUCCGUAGCUGGUCUGAGAGGAUGAUCAGCCACACUGGGACUGAGACACGGCCCAGACUCCUACGGGAGGCAGCAGUGGGGAAUAUUGGACAAUGGGCGCAAGCCUGAUCCAGCCAUGCCGCGUGUGUGAAGAAGGCCUUCGGGUUGUAAAGCACUUUUGUUCGGGAAGAAAUCAGUUCGGCUAAUACCUGGGCUGGAUGACGGUACCGAAAGAAUAAGCACCGGCUAACUUCGUGCCAGCAGCCGCGGUAAUACGAAGGGUGCAAGCGUUACUCGGAAUCACUGGGCGUAAAGCGUGCGUAGGCGGUUAGUUAAGUCUGCUGUGAAAGCCCUGGGCUCAACCUGGGAACUGCAGUGGAUACUGGCUGGCUAGAGUGUGAUAGAGGAUGGUGGAAUUCCCGGUGUAGCGGUG
RNAcentral lists this ribosomal RNA (585 nucleotides) under Lysobacteraceae bacterium StRD467. Its description in RNAcentral is "bacterial SSU rRNA". It matches the Rfam family "Bacterial small subunit ribosomal RNA", at positions 102 to 683 of the family's 1533-position model. The record is from RNAcentral. Lineage: Bacteria; Pseudomonadati; Pseudomonadota; Gammaproteobacteria; Lysobacterales; Lysobacteraceae.